GGUCCCAUCGUCUAGUGGCCUAGGACAUCGCCCUCUCACGGCGAGAACAGGAGUUCGAGUCUCCUUGGGAUCACCA
This 76-nucleotide transfer RNA is filed under the name Proteobacteria bacterium CAG:495. RNAcentral's name for it is "transfer RNA-Glu(CTC)". It matches the Rfam family "tRNA". From Rfam's summary of the family: Transfer RNA (tRNA) molecules are approximately 80 nucleotides in length. Their secondary structure includes four short double-helical elements and three loops (D, anti-codon, and T loops). Lineage: Bacteria; Pseudomonadati; Pseudomonadota. RNAcentral also lists the same sequence under 2 other names. The record is from RNAcentral.